Molecule: long non-coding RNA, 767 nt
Filed under: Equus caballus (horse)
Lineage: Eukaryota; Metazoa; Chordata; Mammalia; Perissodactyla; Equidae
Description: lncRNA (ENSECAG00000035805.3)
Source: RNAcentral
AUUUCCCUAAGAGAGUCGGCGGGCAGCUCAGGGACCAACAACUUGUGCAGAGAACACAGCAUGCAGUGGUCCUGCUCUGCCACCAUGACACCAUUUGCUGACAGGGAUCUCAGCUGGUUUCUGCGAUGGAACAUGGGAGUGAAACUUAAGGCACAUCUAAGAAUGCUCUGUGUAUUGGAUUUCGCUAAAAAGCAGUCAACUUUAAGCUUGAGAUCCUGCAUCCCUUCCUGGAUAGGGCAAGAAGUCACCAACUUCUCUCGCUGAAGUCACACCCAGCCCACAUCCUCUCCAUCCUCCCACAUGAACUCCUCUCAUCCUAUCCGCUCUGAACGUGUGCACCUGCCCACACCCACACCUGCCUCCUCCAGUCAAGAAACAGGAUACAGUACAACGAGAUUAACCAGGAAAGAGCCAGCAACCUGUUCAACCUCCCGUCCAGAUGGAGGUGUCAGCCUCAGCCAUAAGCCUGAUCGUGGCGAACAAUUUCCAGUGCUGAACAUCCCAAAACUCAUCUGCUGGGCAUUAAAACUCGAGAAAUUCCCACAUUAACUACUGCCAGAGUUUUUGUCAGCAAAAUAUAACCAUGGUUUAUCACCCAAAGUUGAUACAUUUUUAUCCAAAAGGAAAUACAGUUGAUCCUCAUUACUCACAGAGCCUGUAUUUGUGAAUUUGUCUAUUCGCUAGCAUUUACUUGUAAUCCUAAAAAUCAAUUCUUGUGGUGCCUUCAUUGUGGUUCAUGGACAUGCACAGAGGGUGGAAUUCUCAAG